CUAGCCGUAAACGAUGGAUACUAGGCGUUGUGAGUAUCGACCCUCACAGUGUCGUAGCUAACGCGUUAAGUAUCCCGCCUGGGGAGUACGCGCGCAGGCGCGAAACUCAAAGGAAUUGACGGGGGCCCGCACAAGCGGUGGAGUAUGUGGUUUAAUUCGAUGCAACGCGAAGAACCUUACCAGGACUUGACAUGUCGCGAAUCUCAGGGAAACUUGAGAGUGCCUUCGGGAGCGCGAACACAGGUGGUGC
This 250-nucleotide ribosomal RNA is filed under the name uncultured Chroococcidiopsis sp. RNAcentral's name for it is "partial 16S ribosomal RNA". It matches the Rfam family "Bacterial small subunit ribosomal RNA", at positions 796 to 1044 of the family's 1533-position model. The record is from RNAcentral. Lineage: Bacteria; Bacillati; Cyanobacteriota; Cyanophyceae; Chroococcidiopsidales; Chroococcidiopsidaceae.